RNAcentral lists this ribosomal RNA (370 nucleotides) under uncultured Nitrospirota bacterium. RNAcentral's name for it is "bacterial SSU rRNA". It matches the Rfam family "Bacterial small subunit ribosomal RNA", at positions 521 to 896 of the family's 1533-position model. The record is from RNAcentral. Lineage: Bacteria; Pseudomonadati; Nitrospirota.
UAAUACGUAGGGGGCAAGCGUUACUCGGAUUUAUUGGGCGUAAAGCGAAUGUAGGCGGUUUUGCAAGUCAGGGGUGAAAUCCCUCAGCUUAACUGAGGAAGUGCCUUUGAAACUGCAUAACUAGAGGGCAGGAGAGGAAGGUGGAAUUCCCGGUGUAGCGGUGGAAUGCGUAGAUAUCGGGAGGAACACCAGAGGCGAAGGCGGCUUUCUGGACUGAUCCUGACGCUGAGAUUCGAAAGCUAGGGGAGCAAACAGGAUUAGAUACCCUGGUAGUCCUAGCCGUAAACGAUGGAUACUAGAUCUUGCAUUUUUUGCUUGGUCGAAGCUAACGCGUUAAGUAUCCCGCCUGGGGAGUACGGUCGCAAGGCUG